This 425-nucleotide ribosomal RNA is filed under the name uncultured bacterium. Its description in RNAcentral is "partial 16S ribosomal RNA". It matches the Rfam family "Bacterial small subunit ribosomal RNA", at positions 354 to 796 of the family's 1533-position model. The record is from RNAcentral.
GUGGGGAAUAUUGGACAAUGGGCGCAAGCCUGAUCCAGCCAUGCCGCGUGAGUGAUGAAGGCCUUAGGGUUGUAAAGCUCUUUCAGUGGGGACGAUAAUGACGGUACCCACAGAAGAAGCCCCGGCUAACUUCGUGCCAGCAGCCGCGGUAAUACGAAGGGGGCUAGCGUUGUUCGGAUUUACUGGGCGUAAAGCGCACGUAGGCGGAUCGUUAAGUCGGGGGUGAAAUCCUGGAGCUCAACUCCAAAACUGCCUUCGAUACUGGCGAUCUUGAGUCCGGAAGAGGUGAGUGGAACUCCUAGUGUAGAGGUGGAAUUCGUAGAUAUUAGGAAGAACACCAGUGGCGAAGGCGGCUCACUGGUCCGGUACUGACGCUGAGGUGCGAAAGCGUGGGGAGCAAACAGGAUUAGAUACCCUAGUAGUCC